This is a long non-coding RNA of Raphanus sativus (radish), 456 nucleotides long. RefSeq lists it as uncharacterized. The transcript has 3 exons. The record is from RefSeq and is a predicted model, not a curated record. Lineage: Eukaryota; Viridiplantae; Streptophyta; Magnoliopsida; Brassicales; Brassicaceae.
UUGACAUGUUCAGUUCCCGACACUCAUGGAAGAAGUGUGUGUUCAAGCUUAUAUAAGAGCCACAACCCUGCCAACACACAUUUUCUUCGAUCUACAAUGACUGCAGAGUUUCUUCCCUUUAGCAGUGUUAAAAGGUAUGCUACAACGAAAGUGAAAGCUCCACCUCAGCUGCAGAAAACAGUGCUUGUAUGUGUCAUUUGAGUCUUUGAGAAGUCUCUAUUCCACACAGGAGCUUGAUGGCGUCUCUGUGGCCGUAAUAAAUUUCCUUCAAAGGAUAUAAUCCAACCUGUCCUCUGAUUUUUAUUUUGCUGAGUUAGUAUCCCUGUAUAAUUUGUAUCUUCUAGUUUAUGUUGCAACUAAAGGGUGAAUAUUGUCUGAUUAGGUUCUAGAUAAUUUUGUAAACAAUUUAUAAAGACUUAUAAAAAUUGUAAAGUCUAUAAGCAAUUUAUAAAUGUU